This is a transfer RNA of Volvox carteri f. nagariensis, 72 nucleotides long. It matches the Rfam family "tRNA". From Rfam's summary of the family: Transfer RNA (tRNA) molecules are approximately 80 nucleotides in length. Lineage: Eukaryota; Viridiplantae; Chlorophyta; Chlorophyceae; Chlamydomonadales; Volvocaceae. The record is from Rfam.
GGGAGUUUGGUCUAGUGGUAUGAUUCUCGCUUUGGGUGCGAGAGGCCGUGGGUUCGAUUCCCACAACUCCCC